CACCCAUAGACUACUGACUCAUCAACACCGCGAUAAUCUCCCCUUAGGUGGAGGAUAAUCUCGGGAAACUGAGNAUAAUAUUCCAUAGAUUUAGGAUGCUGGAAUGCACUUAAAUUAAAAGCUUCGGCGCCUAAGGAUGAGUCUGCGGACUAUCAGGUUGUAGUCAGGGUAACGACCUGACUAGCCUACGACGGAUACGGGUUGUGAGAGCAAUAACCCGGAGAUGAUAUCUGAGACACGAUAUCAGGCCCUACGGAGCGCAGCAGGCGCGAAAACUUCGCAAUGUGCGAAAGCACGACGAGGGAAUCCCAAGUGCUGGCUCGUUAGAGUCAGCUGUUUUUAUGUCUAAAAAGCAUAGAGAGUAAGAGCUGGGUAAGACGGGUGCCAGCCGCCGCGGUAA
Molecule: ribosomal RNA, 400 nt
Filed under: uncultured archaeon
Lineage: Archaea
Description: bacterial SSU rRNA
Rfam family: Archaeal small subunit ribosomal RNA
Source: RNAcentral